UUGUUUGUUUACGAUUUUUGACGUUCUUUAGACAUUGUAUGGUUGAUAGUCCCAAGCCCCGAGAGGCGAGGGAACGGUUCACGGUGUGUGUGGAUGAAAACGGCCAGAGGCCAAUCUCUAAUGAUCCUUCCGCAGGUUCACCUACGGAAA
Molecule: unclassified non-coding RNA, 150 nt
Filed under: uncultured fungus
Lineage: Eukaryota; Fungi
Description: sequence contains ITS1
Source: RNAcentral